CAAUAAGCGGAGGAAAAGAAACCAACAGGGAUUGCCCUAGUAACGGCGAGUGAAGCGGCAACAGCUCAAAUUUGAAAUCUGGCGCAAGCCCGAGUUGUAAUUUGUAGAGGAUGCUUCUAGGUAGCGACCGGUCUAAGUUCCUUGGAACAGGACGUCAUAGAGGGUGAGAAUCCCGUAUGUGACCGGCCCGCGCCUUCCACGUAGCUCCUUCGACGAGUCGAGUUGUUUGGGAAUGCAGCUCUAAAUGGGAGGUAAAUUUCUUCUAAAGCUAAAUACCGGCCAGAGACCGAUAGCGCACAAGUAGAGUGAUCGAAAGAUGAAAAGCACUUUGGAAAGAGAGUUAAAAAGCACGUGAAAUUGUUGAAAGGGAAGCGCUCACAACCAGACUUCUGGGCGGUGUUCCGCCGGUCUUCUGACCGGUCUACUCGCCGUCCCGAGGCCAACAUCAUCUGGGACCGCCGGAUAAGACCUCAGGAAUGUGGCUCCCCUCGGGGAGUGUUAUAGCCUGUGGUGAUGCGGCGCGUCUCGGGUGAGGUCCGCGCUUCGGCAAGGAUGUUGGCGUAAUGGUUGUCAGCGGCCCGUCUUGAAACACGGACCAAGGAGUCUAACAUCUAUGCGAGUGUUCGGGUGUCAAACCCCUACGCGUAAUGAAAGUGAACGGAGGUGGGAAGGGUAACCUGCACCAUCGACCGAUCCUGAUGUCCUCGGAUGGAUUUGAGUAAGAGCAUAGCUGUUGGGACCCGAAAGAUGGUGAACUAUGCCUGAAUAGGGUGAAGCCAGAGGAAACUCUGGUGGAGGCUCGCAGCGGUUCUGACGUGCAAAUCGAUCGUCAAAUUUGGGUAUAGGGGCGAAA
This 853-nucleotide ribosomal RNA is filed under the name Ramularia rubella. RNAcentral describes it as "eukaryotic LSU rRNA". It matches the Rfam family "Eukaryotic large subunit ribosomal RNA", at positions 44 to 928 of the family's 3401-position model. Lineage: Eukaryota; Fungi; Ascomycota; Dothideomycetes; Mycosphaerellales; Mycosphaerellaceae. The record is from RNAcentral.